CUAUCAGGUGUCGCAAGACUUAAUAAGUAAGCAGGUGAAAGUCCUGCGCUGUCACGCAGCUGUAAAGUGGAGCAAAUCUAAAAAAUGUCACUGGGAAACUGGGAAGGCUAGAUUUGCGAGGAAACUGAGCCAGAAGAAUUGCCUUAGAUAG
Molecule: non-coding RNA, 151 nt
Filed under: uncultured Phascolarctobacterium sp.
Lineage: Bacteria; Bacillati; Bacillota; Negativicutes; Acidaminococcales; Acidaminococcaceae
Source: RNAcentral